CCCCUGCUGUGGACAGCUAUUCCAUCUAAGUCCCCCCCAUUGCAACAGCCGGCAGGGAAUCGCCAGUGACCAAGUACCGUAUAUACUCGAGUAUAAGCCGACCCGAAUAUAAGCCGAGGCCCCUAAUUUUACCCCCAAAAAACUGGGAAAACUUACUGACUCGAGUAUGACUAGAGUGGGAAAUGCAGCAGCUACUAGUAAAUUCAGAAAUAAAAUUAGAUCCUAAAAAAAUUAUAUUAAUUGAAUAUUUACACUGUGUAUAUGAUGAAUGCGCAGUGUGUGUGUUGCCUAGCCUUGGUGGGGGGGGUGGGCAUUUUUAUAAAAGUUAUUUUUUUGUAUUUUUAUUUUUCGUCCCCCCUCCCUGCUUGAUACAUGGCAGGGAGGGGGGGCUCUCCUUCCCUGGUGGUCCAGUGGCAUUGGCAGUUCAGUGGGGGGGAAGGAGGGGGGCUGGCAGAGCUGUUACUU
Non-coding RNA from Pelobates cultripes (western spadefoot toad), 465 nucleotides. Lineage: Eukaryota; Metazoa; Chordata; Amphibia; Anura; Pelobatidae. The record is from the annotation of a GenBank genome assembly.